This 509-nucleotide ribosomal RNA is filed under the name uncultured bacterium. Its description in RNAcentral is "bacterial SSU rRNA". It matches the Rfam family "Bacterial small subunit ribosomal RNA", at positions 15 to 518 of the family's 1533-position model. The record is from RNAcentral.
GAUUCUGGCUCAGGAUGAACGCUAGCGACAGGCUUAACACAUGCAAGUCGAGGGCAGCAUAGAAGUAGCAAUACUUGGUGGCGACCGGCGCACGGGUGAGUAACGCGUAUGCAACCUACCUAUCAGAGGGGAAUAACCCGGCGAAAGUCGGACUAAUACCGCAUAAAACAGGGGCACCGCAUGGCGAUAUUUGUUAAAGAAAUUCGCUGAUAGAUGGGCAUGCGUUCCAUUAGGUAGUUGGUGAGGUAACGGCUCACCAAGCCGACGAUGGAUAGGGGAACUGAGAGGUUGGUCCCCCACACUGGUACUGAGACACGGACCAGACUCCUACGGGAGGCAGCAGUGAGGAAUAUUGGUCAAUGGGCGGGAGCCUGAACCAGCCAAGUCGCGUGAAGGAAGAAGGAUCUAUGGUUCGUAAACUUCUUUUGCAGGGGAAUAAAGUGCAGGACGUGUCCUGUUUUGUAUGUACCCUGAGAAUAAGGAUCGGCUAACUCCGUGCCAGCCGCUGC